RNA transcript from Beta vulgaris subsp. vulgaris (sugar beet), 2068 nucleotides. It is a transcript of the gene named sugar transporter ERD6-like 16, with no coding region annotated. NCBI's taxonomy places the organism in Eukaryota, Viridiplantae, Streptophyta, Magnoliopsida, Caryophyllales, Amaranthaceae. The transcript is spliced from 18 exons. The record is from RefSeq and is a predicted model, not a curated record.
CUUCACUAUUUGUCAAAACCCCCCUAUUAUUUUCGUUUCUUCUUUAAACCUAGUAAACUAUUUCCAUUUUAAUUUUUAGGAUUAGUUUUUCGUUUUAGAUUGUUUUGAAUUUAUUUUAUUUAGUCUUAUCUCCUACAGAAAUAAAAGGAUAAAGAAAAGCUCAUAAUUUAGGAUAAGAGUGAACAUGUCAAUUGAAAAUUGUCACGAGAAUACGCAAAAUAUCCAACAUAAUGGGCUUCAAGAGUUAAAAUCACCAUUGGUGAAAGGACAAUGCAAGGAUGUUGAUUAUGAAGAUGAUGAAUAUGGGAGUGAAACUCGUGAUGAUAGCUCCAUUACUAUGGUCUUGUUUAGUACUUGUGUGGCUGUUUGUGGCUCUUUUAUCUUUGGAACAUGUGUUGGAUACUCAGCGCCCACUCAAUCAGCAAUUAGGGCAGAUCUGAAUCUAUCUCUUGCACAGUACUCUACUUUCGGCUCAAUAUUAACAAUUGGUGCAAUGGUUGGUGCUGUAUCAAGUGGUCGAAUUGCAGAUUUUAGUGGUAGAAAACAGGCUAUGAGAAUGUCAGCGUGUUUCUGUAUCAUGGGGUGGCUUGCAAUCUAUUUUGCCACGGGAGCACGGUCACUUGAAAUAGGCAGGCUAUUCAGUGGAUAUGGCAUCGGAGUCCUAUCUUAUGUGGUUCCUAUAUUUAUUGCUGAAAUAUCACCAAAAGGAUUAAGAGGAGGGCUCACCACUCUAAAUCAGCUUAUGAUAGUUACUGGAUCCUCGGUCUCAUUUUUGGUAGGAUCAAUCAUCUGCUGGAGAGCUUUAGCAUUAACUGGUUUGGUGCCAUGCAUAACACUGCUUUCAGGUCUGUUCCUUGUUCCAGAGUCGCCUAGAUGGUUGGCAAAAGCCGGUCGCAAGAAAGAGUUUAUGGCGGCCUUGAGGAUCCUUCGUGGCCAAAAUGCUGAUAUAUCUCGUGAAGCAGCUGAAAUUGAGGAUUAUCUUAUGAUUCUUGAAACCUUACCUAAAGGCAGCUUCCUAGAUUUGUUUCAGAGCAAAUAUAUUCGAGCAGUUAUUAUUGGAAUUGGUCUAAUGGUGUUUCAACAAUGUGUUGGAAUAAAUGGAGUUGGUUUUUAUGUGAGCCAAACCUUCGUCGAGGCAGGGCUUUCUUCGGGAAAGCUAGGAACCAUAGCUUAUGCUACUAUACAAGUGCCAAUAACCCUUAUUGGAGCAAUACUAAUGGAUAGAUCUGGUAGAAGACCACUCAUCAUGAUUUCUGCCAUGGGAACAUUUUUUGGUUGUUUCAUCAUAGCCACCGGAUUCUUUCUCAAGAGCUAUGGGCUCCUUGUCGAAUGGGUACCCACUUUAGCAGUUGGAGGUGUCCUGACCUAUAUAUCAGCAUUUUCCAUCGGCUUUGGUGGUGUUCCUUGGGUUAUAAUGUCCGAGAUAUUUCCAAUAAAUGUGAAGGGUGUUGCUGGAAGUUUAGUAGUCCUUGUGAACUGGUCUGGAGCCUGGCUAAUUUCUUACACAUACAACUUCAUGAUGAGAUGGAGCACAUUUGGUACUUUUUAUAUAUAUGCUGCAUUUUGUGUAUUGACGAUCCUAUUCGUAGCGAAAUUUGUGCCUGAAACAAAGGGGAAGACCCUUGAAGAAAUACAGGAGUCUAUCAGGUCAAAAAGUGAAAUCUUGGAAUAAGUGUUCCUUAACUUGUCCAUAGACGAUGGCUGUAAGGAAAGAUUAGGCAAGAUCGCGGGUUUGUAGAAGAACCCUUUUGACUUGUAAUUGAGAUUGGUUGACAAUGGUUUGCUAAUAAGGGCUUAAUGGCGACUAGCUUAUGUUGGGGUGAGAGCGUUGACUUAACCUAUAUGUAGAUUUUUUAAAGUUAAGACAUCCGCUGCAAUAGUUUAGAAUUAUAGUUUGUUAUAGGAGUGUAUUAACUAAUUACAUUUUCUUUUAGUUGUAAUAGUUAAUAAUUAAUUUAUGUAUUAGUAGUAGUACCUUUUGCCUUGUUGUUAUUAAAUGUUUAAUAACCGCGACAUAACAACCCUUGAAUUGUCCAUGCUUUGUAAUCUAAUAUGUUUUCUAAAGAAA